Molecule: ribosomal RNA, 460 nt
Filed under: uncultured bacterium
Lineage: Bacteria
Description: partial 16S ribosomal RNA
Rfam family: Bacterial small subunit ribosomal RNA
Source: RNAcentral
CCUACGGGUGGCAGCAGUGAGGAAUAUUGGUCAAUGGGCGCGAGCCUGAACCAGCCAAGUAGCGUGAAGGAUGACUGCCCUACGGGUUGUAAACUUCUUUUAUAAAGGAAUAAAGUGAGGCACGUGUGCCUUUCUGUAUGUACUUUAUGAAUAAGGAUCGGCUACCUCCGUGCCAGCAGCCGCGGUAUUCCGGAGGAUCCGAGCGUUAUCCGGAUUUAUUGGGUUUAAAGGGAGCGUAGAUGGGUUGUUAAGUCAGUUGUGAAAGUUUGCGGCUCAACCGUAAAAGUGCAAUUGAUACUGGCAGGCUGGAGUGCAGAUGAGGUAGGCGGAAUUCGUGGUGUAGCGGUGAAAUGCAUAGAUAUCACGAAGAACUCCGAUUGCGAAGGCAGCUUACUAAACUGCGACUGACAUUGAUGCUCGAAAGUGUGGGUAUCAAACAGGAUUAGAUACCCGAGUAGUC